GGGGGCAACCCUGGCGGCGAGCGGCGAACGGGUGAGUAAUGUAUCGGAACGUGCCCAGUCGUGGGGGAUAACUAUCCGAAAGGAUAGCUAAUACCGCAUACGACCUGAGGGUGAAAGCGGGGGACCGCAAGGCCUCGCGCGAUUGGAGCGGCCGAUAUCGGAUUAGCUAGUUGGUGAGGUAAAGGCUCACCAAGGCGACGAUCCGUAGCUGGUCUGAGAGGACGACCAGCCACACUGGAACUGAGACACGGUCCAGACUCCUACGGGAGGCAGCAGUGGGGAAUUUUGGACAAUGGGGGCAACCCUGAUCCAGCCAUUCCGCGUGAGUGAAGAAGGCCUUCGGGUUGUAAAGCUCUUUCAGCAGGAACGAAACGGCUCUCUCUAACAUAGGGAGUUAAUGACGGUACCUGAAGAAGAAGCACCGGCUAACUACGUGCCAGCAGCCGCGGUAAUACGUAGGGUGCGAGCGUUAAUCGGAAUUACUGGGCGUAAAGCGUGCGCAGGCGGCGCCAUAAGACAGAUGUGAAAUCCCCGGGCUUAACCUGGGAACUGCGUUUGUGACUGUGGUGCUCGAGUGUGGCGGAGGGGGGUGGAAUUCCACGUGUAGCAGUGAAAUGCGUAGAGAUGUGGAGGAACACCGAUGGCGAAGGCAGCCCCCUGGGUCAACACUGACGCUCAUGCACGAAAGCGUGGGGAGCAAACAGGAUUAGAUACCCUGGUAGUCCACGCCCUAAACGAUGCGAACUAGGUGUUGGGGAAGGAGACUCUCUUAGUACCGCAGCUAACGCGUGAAGUUCGCCGCCUGGGGAGUACGGUCGCAAGAUUAAAACUCAAAGGAAUUGACGGGGACCCGCACAAGCGGUGGAUGAUGUGGAUUAAUUCGAUGCAACGCGAAAAACCUUACCUACCCUUGACAUGCCAGGAAGUCCGCUGAGAAGUGGAUUUGCCCGAAAGGGAACCUGGACACAGGUGCUGCAUGGCUGUCGUCAGCUCGUGUCGUGAGAUGUUGGGUUAAGUCCCGCAACGAGCGCAACCCUUGUCAUUAAUUGCCAUCAUUCAGUUGGGCACUUUAAUGAGACUGCCGGUGACAAACCGGAGGAAGGUGGGGAUGACGUCAAGUCCUCAUGGCCCUUAUGGGUAGGGCUUCACACGUCAUACAAUGGUCGGUACAGAGGGUUGCCAACCCGCGAGGGGGAGCCAAUCCCACAAAGCCGAUCGUAGUCCGGAUCGCAGUCUGCAACUCGACUGCGUGAAGUCGGAAUCGCUAGUAAUCGUGGAUCAGCAUGUCACGGUGAAUACGUUCCCGGGUCUUGUACACGC
This 1320-nucleotide ribosomal RNA is filed under the name metagenome. RNAcentral describes it as "bacterial SSU rRNA". It matches the Rfam family "Bacterial small subunit ribosomal RNA", at positions 75 to 1390 of the family's 1533-position model. The record is from RNAcentral.